RNAcentral lists this long non-coding RNA (7087 nucleotides) under Medicago truncatula (barrel medic). RNAcentral describes it as "long non-coding RNA (MTRU_LNC001840)". Lineage: Eukaryota; Viridiplantae; Streptophyta; Magnoliopsida; Fabales; Fabaceae. The record is from RNAcentral.
GUGCGUCUUAGGAGAGCAACAUUUACAAAUUUGAUUUCUUUGGACAACUCAGGGUCUGAAAUCUCUGGUAAUUGAAAGUGAAGGUUGGGAAUCUUGGUGCAGAUCGACUCCCAUCUUGUGGAUAGAAAACAUGUUCUAUAACACUCUUUGGUUGAUAGGAAAGACAAAAUAUGACAAAUCAAAUCGUCUGAGAGAUUGCUUAAUCGAUCAUGUUUUUCAUCAGAGCACGCCAUGACCUAAUCUGAACAGCAGAGUAAAGUUAUGACAUGAUUGAAGAGAUUUCAUUAACAAUAAGCAGAGAGAUUAAUGCCAUGACCGGGCAAUGUUUUUACAAAUGUUACAUGAAAAAUGUUACUGAAGCUGUCAUAAUUAUAGACAUGAUUUCGACAAGGGAAACUUGCAAUAUGUAAUAAAAAGAGUCAGAAUGCACACAUGUGGAAAAGAGACCGUAACAAGGUCUCUAGCAACAUUUUAUCAGCUGAAACUUGGCUUAGGUUAAACAUUUUCUCAUAAAAAAAAAACCAAGAUUGUUGGAAAAACCUCAACUUUCUGCCAACAAGACCAAAACCAAAACCAAAACAAAUUUAAUGUUGUUCUGUCUUCUUUGAAAAAUCUCUAUCAUUCCCUCAAAAGAUGGGGUUUAGAACAAGACAUCAAAGUUGAAUUGAAAAUCACAUUAACAACAAAAAACCAACAGCUACCAGAAACCCAAAAAUCACAUUAUCAGUUGAAUUGAAAAACAAAGAACAGAGGUGAGGUCGCACGCACCUUAUGAACUCAAUUGAUGAGUUCAGAGUAACGGAAAGGGGUGAACGUUGUUGUAUUCGCGGUUUUCUGUAUAAACAAACAAAUAUGAAUUAAAAAUGAAGUUUCUGAAUCAGAAUUUGAAGAAAGUGAAUGAGGAGUUUUAACAAACAUGUUAAGUGCAUAAUAAAAAAAAACGUUGAAAAGUGAAGAUUGUGUACGAUAAAUCAGUUGAAACAAAAGACAUUGAGAAUUACCACAAUAAAUGAAGAAAUGAAAUUGGUGGUGUUUUCCUUUCUACAUUUUGAGAUGAUUUUAGUCUCUGAUUUAUAGUCUAAGAAUUAGGGUUAGCAAGAUUUGUUGUUCAAUGCUCAAAAUGAAAAGAUUGAAAAGCAAAGAGGAAAAGAAGGCUUUGUAUCAUACUCCAAGAAGAAGGAUUCAGUUGAUGUACUUGCUCUGCCAUACUGUGCUACUGCCAUGUGAGUGGUUAAUGGCACAUGUCUACACUUUUAACUUUUAACACCCAAGCAUUAAACUGAUUGACAUUUGAUAAGUUCAGCGAAUAAUUGAAUAUUUCGAUAAAUUGGGAGAUGAAAUUGAUUGAUGCUUGGAAAUUUAAGGAUGAAGUUGAGUAUUCACUCAAAAUUUAUCAUUUAAGAUAGAGUGAAUAUACAUUUUAGUUUUCAAAUUUGCAUGCAUCGGUCAAUUUCAUCCCUUAAUUUUUUCGAAAUAGCAAAUACGCCCCUAAAUUUUUUCAAUCAAUUUAGUCCCUUUGCCAAGUCUCGUCGUUAACGGUGCUGACGUGGAGUUUCAAGUCAGCUUCCACGUGUAUAAUGACGAAUUUGAUCGAAUUUUUUUGACUUUUUUUUAAUGAAAGUCAACACAAAUUGUUACACCGUCAAGUCAAUCCUGAAUUAUUGAUUAAAAAUCAAGCAGGUCCCUGAAUUAUGUCAAUGACUAUCAAAUCAAUCUCUAAAUUAUUUAAUUUUUUCUAUCAAUUUGAUUCAUGAUACUCUCAAAUAAAUUGAUCCUUAAAUAAUAAUAACAAAUAUGGUGAUUAUGUCUAUAAAUAGACACUCAAGUGAAGUGCAUAGUGUUCACUAAACACAAAAUAUGUAACCUGCAGGUGAAAGAAAUGCUCAGGCAAGACAAAUUAACAGAAGCAUUUGUGUCUUUUUGAAUUGGCUAAUUUGAGUUUAUAUAUAUAUAUAUAUAUAUAUAUAUAUAUAUAUAUAUAUAUAUAUAUAUANNNNNNNNNNNNNNNNNNNNNNNNNNNNNNNNNNNNNNNNNNNNNNNNNUAUAUAUAGGGUGCGUUUGUUUUAACUUUAAAAAAAAAUUGUGUUAAAGGAAUCUAGAGAUUAAAUUUUAGAAAUUUGAAAAACAAAUCUGAAGUAUUUUUUGUUUGCAUACUAUCCAUAAAAAUUCAUUUUUAAAAUAAAAUAAGUGUUAACAUCUACAUGUGUUACCUCCUUGUUUUUGAAAAAACUUGAUUAUAAGAAAAGUUAAUCCUAAUAGCUUUUCAUUUUAGGAUCAAAAUAGAUUUUGUUGAUAAAAUAAUUUUUCUAAAAAUUAAAAAAAAUUCCUAAUACUUAAAAAUGAAAAAAGUGAUUCAGUUGCUGUACUUGCUCUGCCAUACUCUGCCUACUGCUCACUUUUUAUUGUUUUUUUUUAUUUUUUUUUAUUUUUAGUUAUAUCAUUUUUUAACUAAAAAAUAAUAUUUUUAAUGGUUUUUUCAUAUAAUGUAAGGAUUCGCUUGCUGUUGCUCUGCCAUACUGUGCUACCGCUCACUUUUAAUUUUUUAAUUUUUAGUUAUAUAAAAAGUGAUAUAACUAAAAAUUAAAAGUACAAACAUAUAAAUUUUUAGGAAAAAUCAUAUACCAAAAAGUAUAUUCAAAAACAGCAAUUUCAUGUGAUCUAAACAACCUAUCAAAGCUUCAACAACACACAAAGUAGAAAGCAUUUUCAUAGCAACUACUCAACAAAAAAAACAUGAACAAUCAUAAAAUUCAAAACCAGUGAAAUCAUGAAAUAAUUAAAAAAAAUGUGAAAUGUAGUGAAAAUGAAGAACACAUACCUGAUUUGAUUACAGUAAGAGUAAAAUCGCGUAGCCAAAUUAGAAGAGUGUAGGUUUAAGGAGAUGGAAUCGAAUCCAAUUUUUCACAUUUUUUAGCAUUUAUUUGACAGCGAGGAUCAAAUUGAUAGAUAAGAUAAAUAAUUCAGGGAUCAAUUUGAUAGUGAGUGACUAAUUCAUGGACCAACUUGAUUUUUAAUGAAUAAAUCAAGGAUCAAUUUGACAGUUACAAUUUGUAUUGACUUUCAUUUUUUUUUAAGUCCAAAAAAAAAUUCUAUCAAAUUCGUCCCUAUACAUGUGGAAGUUGACUUGCAACUCCACGUCAGCCUGAACGUGAAACGUCAGCACGGUUAACGGUGAGACUUGACGAAGAGACUAAAUUGAUUGACAUUUAUAAGAUUCAGGGACAUAUUUGCUAUUUUGAAAAAUUGAGGGAUGAAAUUGACUAAGGACCAAAAUGCAUAUUCACUCUUUAAGCUAUUUAUACAGUAUUAUAAGAACAUACUUUAACAUUUUUCUUUGUCAAUUUAUGGACUUUAGUCAGCGGUAAAGUUAGCACAAUUUUUAUGAGGGGGCCAAAUAUAAAGAAGAAAUAAAAUAUAUUUUAAAAACCAUAUAUUAAACUUAAUCAAUAAGUAAAAUAAAUUUACAAUAAUUUUUACUUAUAUUUAAUGAAACGACAACGAAGAAACUAAAAUCUAACAAUAAUUAUUUAUAAAAGUUGAGCUCUAUGAUGUUGUAAGAAGUCAAAUUUAUCUUUAAUUGACACUAACUUAAAUAGAUCAUCAUAUUUUAUUAACAUCAUCCCUCUUUCAAUCAACAAAAUUGUUUAGAGUAGUAAAGUAAUAAUGUAAUAUAUCUAUCAAUUUGGGGUAUGAUUCUAACUAGCAAAGGACAUGUACACUCGGACGGGUCCGUUUAUUUGUACUCCCUCUGUUUUAAAAUGAGUGUUGUUUUAACAAAAAAGUGCUAAAAAAAAUUGUUUCAAAAUGAAUGUCACUUUCAGUUUUCAAUGCAAUAAUAAUUUUUUCUUUUCAAUUAUACCCUUCAAUUAAUACUAUGUUACACUACUUCCAAAGUAUUAUUUUUUCUUUAAUGAAAAUCAAACCAAUAGUUGAUUAGGAUAAUUUGGUAAAAUUGCUAUGACAUUUAACUACUUUAUUCAAUUCCUUAAUAUGUGUGCAAUUGGCUAAAGCGACACAUUUUGAAACAGAGAGAGUAGUAGAUAUGUAACUCUAGCAAGUUAGUUUGUAAACUGUGUGUAGUAGUCCUAUCAUUCUAUAAUAUGUACUAACACUGAUUGGAAAAAUCACUCUCUUAGCAGGUUGGUUGAUAAGACUCCUCAAUAGACACCGACCAAGGAUCGAAAAAACAACAUCCAACCAAAUGGUUAAGAGAUACAAAUAUGUAACACUUAUGUCAAAUAAAGAACUUAUACGUGUAAAAGUGCCAUUCUUUACACCCUCAUGAUUUUCAGGCACUAAUAAGUAACCAUUCUGAUUGCUAAGUCUGAGUGUGUGUGCCUAUGAGUCUUACUGUUGUCCACUCCUCAUCCCCACAUAACAUAAAAUAGAUAAUAAAAACAAAAUUAUAGUAGGUAAUUUGAGAUUUGGUCAAAUCUUUUUCACAUUCCAUGUGUAAUGUGUGUCAAAGAUACACUUUAAAACUUUUGAAAUGUCUUUACUUUUCAUGUAAAUCUUAGGAUGUGAACUAUUUGGAAAAUGAAGCCUUUAUCUUAGAAAUGCAAAAGUUCUGUCAGGUUUUAUGCAGGAAAAUUAGUUCACACUCCCUGAUUUUGUCCCCCCCCUCUCUCUCAGAUUGUGGUAAUACUGAUAGAAAAUCUCAUACAUCAAUCAAACUUCUCUAGAUCAUAUAGAAAGACUGAAGUUUUUGAAAAGACACGAUGACCAAACACCAAAACUGAACAAAAAGCAAUAUUUAGAUAUGCUAAAGCACACACAACACAAACAUUCAUUAUUGUGCCUGAAAAUAUCUUAUCACAAGCAGUUCGAGCAUACAAUUUGAUUUCAUCGUAGAAUAAACAGACACACUCAUAGGGGCAUCAAUUCCAAUCAACUUCACAUUGCAAUAUAACACUCCUUCACUAUGGAUAUGCACAUUAUAAGUUAAAACUCACUCACUAAGCUUUGAUGACUUAAAUUUAUUUAUUGUGCAAGAACAGCUCAGAAAAGAGAUCUUUAAUAUCCUUGAAGGCAUCCAACUGAUCUUCAACUGAAUUAAUAUCCUGUGACCAAUAUUGAAUAAUUAAUUUUAAGAUUAUAAAUAUAAAUGAUAAAAUCAUUAAAGUAUACGGAUAAAAAAAAUUAAUAUAUUUAAAAAUUUUAAGAGGAUAUAAUUUACUUAUUUUAAGAAAAACAAUCUUAUUCUCAACCACAAAUGUAAUAGUAUAUAUAUAAAUUCAAGAGAUAUAAAGUUGUGUUGAUGGUCGGAGUUAAUGUCUGUAAGAGUAAGAAAGGAUGAAAGUUCUAUCACCACCCCACAACAUCAUGCCAACAAAUAUUAACAUACCAACCUUUUUCAUUAAAACAGAAAGUAUAUAGACUCUGUAUGGAAGAAAAGAAAGUGUGUAAAAUUCGUACCCAUACUAGUACGGAGGAUUUCUUUGACCCCUUGCGUAAACUUUUUUCUACUCUUCUUUUCUUUGAAGUGGGUGUGAAAAUCUUUACCUUCUCUAGCUUACUUGAGUGACUUACAAUAUAUCGUGUAAAGUCCAACUCAGUUUUUAUGUUUUGAAUUCCAACAAAUUCAAAUGAAAUGAGACUGUUAGUAAGACAUGCCGGAGAUAUCAAUGGCUCCACCCAACUCGAGUUUCCAACCUCCUUUCUUCGGGAAUUGAUUUCAAUUUUUCUCUGCAUGUAAACCAAAAAUUAUCAUUAGAAUUUUCCAAAUGAUAGCAUAUAAGAUAAAAUGUAAGUAAAAUAGUUUGAAAGAAGGUUAAAUUGGAAGGACAAUCUGCACAAAUAUAGAUCACAUAUAGAUUGUAUUGAAUUAAUUAAUUUGUUGAUCGGUUUUAUUUGCAAACUCUAUGCAUCUUUUGCUAGGUCUUUGCUCUUCUUGUGCCAGGUUUUGAGCUUAUAUUAUUUUAUCCUUUAAAAAAAAAAUUGUGCAAAUAUAGUUAAAAAAUCAUACACACCCCAACUGCAAGAUGCUUAAGUUUUGGUGCAUUGUGUAGAAAGCUGACGAGCAUAUUCCAACUGCAAUUCUCAUAUAUUUCAACCGAUAAAAAUAAUAAAUUGUGAAAAGUGAGAAGAUGUAAGUUGUCAAGUUUGGCCUCCAUGCCGAGAAACUGCAUAACAAAGAUGAUAAAAUGAGAAGAGAAUUGCAUAUGGGUGACUAAAUAUGAAACUUGUAAUUAAAAAAGAAAAAUAUUUAUGAAACUUACAUGAAAAGUGUUAGAACCGAGAGCCAAUGAUUCGACUUUAGAAAGUCCCUUCAGUACUGUAUACAAAUUGUUAAAAUCCGCAGGAUUACAAAUGAAAAUAGCAGCUUCAUCAAGAUUGGACAAAUUUGUAAAGUCAUAUUUUCUAGGAGCCAAUGAAAAAUCAACAAGAUAAAGAACUUCAAGUGACGGGGCAUUAAUUUGUAGUGGAAAACACUUAACAACAGAAGUAGGUAUAUAUAAACAAAGGAAUAAUCUCUUCAAUAAGUAAAAAGAGGUGUUGAUCGGUAAUGCAAAGGUCCCAGCUAAAUUAAGUUCCUCCAAAUGUGGACAACCAGAUAGAAAAUUAUUGAGAGCAUACUCUGUACGAUCAUCAAAGAUAGAAUACGCCACAGUUUCACGGAGAUGAAGAAUCUUUAGUGACGGUAAAUAUACAUGAAAAGAAGAAUUGAGUUUUGGUUGAAUUCUGCCCUGCAAUUUUAAGACCACGAGUGACUCACAUGUGGAAAGCCUAAGCGGCAAUAAGAUUUUUUCAUGGAGAAACAGAUCCAACUCAAGUUCCUGGACCUUGAGAUCUAAUGCCUUUGAAACCCACAUGCGUACAUCAUGUGGCUGACAGCCAUUCUCACUAUUAAGACUUAGUUUUCUUAUAUUUUCGGUGCGUCUUAGGAGAGCAACAUUUACAAAUUUGAUUUCUUUGGAUAACACAGGAUCUGAAUUCUCUGGUAAUUGAAAGUGAAGGUUAGGAAUCUUGGUGCAGAUCGACUCCCAUCUUGUGGAUAGAACACAUGUUCUAUAACACUCUUUGGUUGAUAGGAAAGACAAAAUAUGACAAAUCAAAUCGUCUGAGAGAUUGCUUAAUCGAUCAUGUU